CAGAGGUCCCGAGCGUUGUUCGGAUUCACUGGGCGUAAAGGGUGCGUAGGUGGUGAGGUAAGUCGGAUGUGAAAUCUCCGGGCUCAACCCGGAAAUGGCAUUGGAAACUACCUUGCUAGAGGAUUUGAGGGGGGAUUGGAAUACUUGGUGUAGCAGUGAAAUGCGUAGAUAUCAAGUGGAACACCAGUGGCGAAGGCGAAUCCCUGGAAAACACCUGACACUGAGGCACGAAAGCUAGGGGAGCAAACAGGAUUAGAUACCCUGGUAGUCCUAGCCCUAAACGGUGCUUGCUUGCUGUAAGAGGAAUCGACCCCUCUUGUGUCGGAGCUAACGCGUUAAGCAAGCCGCCUGGGAAGUACGGUCGCAAGAUUA
Molecule: ribosomal RNA, 372 nt
Filed under: uncultured organism
Description: bacterial SSU rRNA
Rfam family: Bacterial small subunit ribosomal RNA
Source: RNAcentral